This 381-nucleotide ribosomal RNA is filed under the name Streptomyces sp. Its description in RNAcentral is "bacterial SSU rRNA". It matches the Rfam family "Bacterial small subunit ribosomal RNA", at positions 141 to 535 of the family's 1533-position model. Lineage: Bacteria; Bacillati; Actinomycetota; Actinomycetes; Kitasatosporales; Streptomycetaceae. The record is from RNAcentral.
GGAUAACUCCGGGAAACCGGAGCUAAUACCGGAUACGACUCUCCAGGGCAUCCUGGGGGGUGGAAAGCUCCGGCGGUGCAGGAUGAGCCCGCGGCCUAUCAGCUGGUUGGUGGGGUGAUGGCCUACCAAGGCGACGACGGGUAGCCGGCCUGAGAGGGCGACCGGCCACACUGGGACUGAGACACGGCCCAGACUCCUACGGGAGGCAGCAGUGGGGAAUAUUGCACAAUGGGCGCAAGCCUGAUGCAGCGACGCCGCGUGAGGGAUGACGGCCUUCGGGUUGUAAACCUCUUUCAGCAGGGAAGAAGCGCGAGUGACGGUACCUGCAGAAGAAGCACCGGCUAACUACGUGCCAGCAGCCGCGGUAAUACGUAGGGUGCG